RNAcentral lists this ribosomal RNA (620 nucleotides) under uncultured bacterium. Its description in RNAcentral is "bacterial SSU rRNA". It matches the Rfam family "Bacterial small subunit ribosomal RNA", at positions 104 to 723 of the family's 1533-position model. The record is from RNAcentral.
GGGUGCGUAACGCGUGAGCAACAUGCCCGUAUGAGGGGGAUAAGCGAUGGAAACGUCGUCUAAUACCCCGUAACACAGGAGAUCGCAUGAUCACCUGUUGAAAGAUUUAUCGCAUACGGAUUGGCUCGCGUGACAUUAGCUAGUCGGCGGGGUAACGGCCCACCGAGGCGACGAUGUCUAGGGGUUCUGAGAGGAAGGUCCCCCACACUGGAACUGAGACACGGUCCAGACUCCUACGGGAGGCAGCAGUGAGGAAUAUUGGUCAAUGGGCGGAAGCCUGAACCAGCCAUGCCGCGUGAAGGAAUAAGGCCCUAUGGGUCGUAAACUUCUUUUGACGGGGAGCAAUAAGGGUCACGUGUGGCCCGAUGAGAGUACUCGUCGAAUAAGCAUCGGCUAACUCCGUGCCAGCAGCCGCGGUAAUACGAAGGAUGCAAGCGUUAUCCGGAUUUAUUGGGUUUAAAGGGUGCGUAGGCGGACGUGUAAGUCAGGGGUGAAAUACCGGGGCUCAACCUCGGAACUGCCUUUGAUACUGCAUGUCUGGAGUUCGGAUGCCGUGGGAGGAAUGGGCAGUGUAGCGGUGAAAUGCAUAGAUAUUGCCCAGAACACCGAUUGCGAAGGCA